This 824-nucleotide long non-coding RNA is filed under the name Homo sapiens (human). RNAcentral describes it as "LIX1L antisense RNA 1". Lineage: Eukaryota; Metazoa; Chordata; Mammalia; Primates; Hominidae. The record is from RNAcentral.
AUCCACCCAAGACCCGGUUCCUCGAUUCCCAUCCUUACGACCGAGGAAAAAAGAGUAAAUUUUCCUAUUAUAGCCUUCUCUCGCACCUUCCCCGCUUCCCACCAGCCGUCUCCACUGUCCUCACCGUCCCCAUCCUCAUCCAUGGCGAAAUCUUCGCCCCCAGCCUCGUGAAGAUCUAGCACGUCCGCCAUCUCGCCUUCGAUCGAGAUCUCGUCUGUGCCGCUCAGACACUAGGUACCUCGGGAAACUGUCGCAGAGGGGAAAGGUCGCCAGUCAAGCUGACCAAUCAAAGGCUAACUCUAAAUCCCUCCCUCUGCACGGUAAAAACACGCAAAUUGGGGCGGGCCUAGUGCGGAAAGAUACCGGAAGUGUUUCUGUGGCCAUCUUGAACAGAUCGCAAGCUAAAUCAUCCAUCUUAGGAGGUACAGACUACAGGGGGCCGUGGCUUCCUCUUAACCGCGGCAGCUGCUGAUAAAUACUGUACUAUUAACAGUGAGGCCCGGCGUAAUUUCCUUAUUAGAGGGCUUCUUUACGUCUCUUCAUCCCAAACUGGGAAAUGCUUGCUGGCCUGCUCUAUAGUGCUGUUGCUUAAAAAGUCAUCUGUGAAGAAAACCAGAGGGAGAAAUUUCACCUGCCAAAGUGGAUAAAGAGUGGCUCAGAAAUCAAAGAUGGGGAAAUAGAGGCCAGAAGUAGAAGAAAAUAGAAGAAACACACUUGGUGAAAUGAAAAUUAGACCCUGAAUAAAAACUGUGAGUAGUCAAGAAAUAGGAAGUUUCAAAAGGAGACAGUUAAUCUACUGGGAUAUAUCUGCUGAUGAUGGAGGG